CGGGAUGUAGUAUACCGGUAGUACGCCUGCUUUGGGAGCAGGUAGACUGGGUUCGAUUCCCAGCAUCCCGACCA
RNAcentral lists this transfer RNA (74 nucleotides) under Patescibacteria group bacterium. Its description in RNAcentral is "tRNA-Pro". It matches the Rfam family "tRNA". From Rfam's summary of the family: Transfer RNA (tRNA) molecules are approximately 80 nucleotides in length. Their secondary structure includes four short double-helical elements and three loops (D, anti-codon, and T loops). RNAcentral also lists the same sequence under 1 other name. The record is from RNAcentral.